This 827-nucleotide ribosomal RNA is filed under the name uncultured Chloroflexaceae bacterium. RNAcentral describes it as "bacterial SSU rRNA". It matches the Rfam family "Bacterial small subunit ribosomal RNA", at positions 386 to 1238 of the family's 1533-position model. The record is from RNAcentral. Lineage: Bacteria; Bacillati; Chloroflexota; Chloroflexia; Chloroflexales; Chloroflexaceae.
ACGGAGCAACGCCGCGUGCCGGAUGACGGCCUUCGGGUUGUGAACGGCUGUUGGAUGGGAGGAGGAUGACGGGACGAUGCGAAGAAGCCCCGGGUAACUCCGUGCCAGCAGCCGCGGGAAGACGGAGGGGGCAAGCGUUGUCCGGACUCACUGGGCGGAAAGGGUGGGCAGGGGGUGCCGUGCGUGGGCGCUGAAGGCGGCCGGCUUAACCGGGGGAGGUGCGGCGAUACGACGGCACUUGAGGCAGGUAGAGGUUGGCGGAAGUCCGGGUGUAGUGGUGAAAUGCGUAGAGAUCCGGAGGAACGUCUGUGGCGUAAGCGGCCAACUGGGCCUGUCCUGACGCUGAGGCACGAAAGCGUGGGGAGCGAACCGGAUUAGAUACCCGGGGAGGCCACGCCGUAAACGUUGUCGGCUCGGUGUGUGGUCUCAUUACGAGACUGCGUGCCCCAGCCCACGCGGUAAGCCGACCGCCUGGGGACUACGGCCGCAAGGCUAAAACUCAAAGGAAUUGACGGGGGCCCGCACAAGCAGCGGAGCGUGUGGUUUAAUUCGACGCAACGCGAAGAACCUUACCCAGAUUUGACAUGCGACUGCAAGCGCACGGAAACGUGUGACCUGCGAGGGUGUCGCACAGGUGCUGCAUGGCUGUCGUCAGCUCGUGUCGUGAGAUGUUGGGUUAAGUCCCGCAACGAGCGCAACCCCCGCCGUCAGUUAUACGUGUCUGGGCGGGACUGCCCGGCUGUUUGGGUCGGAGGAAGGCGGGGGGAUGACGUCAAGUCCGCAUGGCCCGUACGUCUGGGGGCGACACACACGCUACAAUGGCCCGG